RNAcentral lists this transfer RNA (90 nucleotides) under Dipodomys ordii (Ord's kangaroo rat). It matches the Rfam family "tRNA". Rfam says of the family: Transfer RNA (tRNA) molecules are approximately 80 nucleotides in length. Their secondary structure includes four short double-helical elements and three loops (D, anti-codon, and T loops). Further hydrogen bonds mediate the characteristic L-shaped molecular structure. tRNAs have two regions of fundamental functional importance: the anti-codon, which is responsible for specific mRNA codon recognition, and the 3' end, to which the tRNAs corresponding amino acid is attached (by aminoacyl-tRNA synthetases). tRNAs cope with the degeneracy of the genetic code in two manners: having more than one tRNA (with a specific anti-codon) for a particular amino acid; and 'wobble' base-pairing, i.e. permitting non-standard base-pairing at the 3rd anti-codon position. The record is from Rfam by way of RNAcentral. Lineage: Eukaryota; Metazoa; Chordata; Mammalia; Rodentia; Heteromyidae.
GCUGGUAUGACUCAAGUGGUAGAGUACUAGCCUUGAGAGAAAAAGCUAAGUGAGAGCACUAGGCCCUGAGUUUAAGUCCUAGUACCAGCA